UUUCGCAAUGCCCGAAAGGGUGACGAAGCGACGCCGCGUGGGUGAGGAAGGCCCUCGGGUUGUAAAGCCCUGUCAGGAGUUAAGAAAUGUAAGUGCGCUAAUAUCGCAUUUAUUUGACGAAGGCUCCAAAGGAAGUCACGGCUAACUCUGUGCCAGCAGCCGCGGUAAUACAGAGGUGGCAAGCGUUGUUCGGAAUUACUGGGCGUAAAGAGCACGUAGGUGGGUUUGCGAGUCAGAUGUGAAAGCCUCCUGUUCAACGGGAGAAUUGCGUCUGAAACUGCAGAUCUUGAGUGUAGGAGGGGAGAAUGGAACUUCUGGUGGAGCGGUGAAAUGCGUAGAUAUCGGAAGGAACGCCGGCGGCGAAAGCGAUUCUCUGGCCUAUUACUGACACUCAGUGUGCGAAAGCUAGGGGAGCAAACGGGAUUAGAUACCCCGGUAGUCCUAGCCGUAAACGAUGGGCACUAAGUAGAGGGGUUUUA
RNAcentral lists this ribosomal RNA (479 nucleotides) under uncultured anaerobic ammonium-oxidizing bacterium. RNAcentral describes it as "bacterial SSU rRNA". It matches the Rfam family "Bacterial small subunit ribosomal RNA", at positions 364 to 833 of the family's 1533-position model. The record is from RNAcentral.